CUCCUCUUGAAAUAUAAGAGGUACCGUCUGCUCAAUGCAAUUUGUAAAUAGCCGCAGUAUUCUGACUGUGCUAAGGUAGCAUAAUCAUUAGUCUUUUAAUUGGAGGCUGGUAUGAAUGACGAGACGAGAAAAUAGCUGUCUCCAUAAUAAAUUUUGAAUUUUAUUUUUAAGUGAAAAAGCUUAAAUAAUUUUGAAGGACGAUCAGACCCUUUGGAGCUUUAUUUAUUUUUGAGUUUAAAUUUAUUUAAGAUGAUUGAACGAAGAAUAAAUUUUGUUGGGGCGACAGGGAGUAAAAAAUAACACUCUUUUUUAAAAACAGUUUUAAUUGAAAAAUUGAUCCUUAUAGAGAGAUUAAAGACUAAGUUACCCUAGGGAUAACAGCGUAAUCUUUUUGGAGAGUUCAAAUCGAUAAAAAGGUUUGCGACCUCGAUGUUGGAUUAAGAGAUUAACAAGGUGCAGAAGUUUUGUUGGAGAGUCUGUUCGACUCU
Molecule: ribosomal RNA, 488 nt
Filed under: Daphnia nivalis
Lineage: Eukaryota; Metazoa; Arthropoda; Branchiopoda; Diplostraca; Daphniidae
Description: partial 16S ribosomal RNA
Rfam family: Bacterial large subunit ribosomal RNA
Source: RNAcentral